GCGUCUCCCAGGAUUCUCGGGCCUAUAGGGGAGUGACAGAACUCUCGCGAGUGUGCAGGUCUUCUUCCGGCCCUGGGUCCCUGGCUCUUGCUGCCCCAGGCUGUUUGCACAUCUCUGGCAGCUUGUGGUUUCCAUCUCCUGCGGAACGGUGAGUGGAGGAUCGUCGAGGGGCAGCGAGCAUGGCCAGGGCCUUUGACGCCGCAGGCUGGGAGCUGCCUGUCUGAACGCGGAAGCCCAGGUGGAAGUUCCUCGGCCAGGAUCAAAACCAAGCCACUACAAGGACAACUUCGGAUCCUUAACCUGCUGCAUCAUAAGAGAUCAGUGUUAUGUGUUGUUAUACAGAAUAGAUGAAAAUGGUUUCACAUUAAACGUUUAAAGAAAAUAGUGCAAGGAAAAGCAUUUCAGAUAUGUUCUUUGUGUUAACAUUAGCAUUUUAGUUAAGGAGCUAGUUAAAUCAUGUUCCUCCCCAUAAGAAUAUUGAGUCAACAAGAUUUACUUAGGAACUUGGAUCUUUGCUGCCCCCGUUUCCCUACCAAUCUCUAGGAUGAUGCUCUAAUCAGUCAGAAUUUUUAUUUUUGCUGCCCAGAUAUACCAGAAUUACAGACUAUAGAUGACUUAAUCCAGGGCCUUGUGGCAGUGACCUCAGAGAACUAGCAUUGCUGCAGAGGUGCAAAUUUGAUCACUGGCCUGGGGGUGGAUUCAGUCCCUUGGUUUACAAGGUAAAAAAAAAAAAUGAGUUUUUUCAUGUUUUCUUAGUUCCUGUUACUGAAUUUUUACAACUUGCAUUUUAGAUGGUGUUUUGUACUAUGUAAUAAUGUACGUACUUGACAUCCUAAUAAACCAUACAUUGACUCUUA
Long non-coding RNA from Phacochoerus africanus (Common warthog), 857 nucleotides. RefSeq lists it as uncharacterized. The transcript has 2 exons. NCBI's taxonomy places the organism in Eukaryota, Metazoa, Chordata, Mammalia, Artiodactyla, Suidae. The record is from RefSeq and is a predicted model, not a curated record.